Molecule: ribosomal RNA, 481 nt
Filed under: uncultured Curtobacterium sp.
Lineage: Bacteria; Bacillati; Actinomycetota; Actinomycetes; Micrococcales; Microbacteriaceae
Description: bacterial SSU rRNA
Rfam family: Bacterial small subunit ribosomal RNA
Source: RNAcentral
UACAAAGGAAUUGACGGGGCCCGCACAAGCGGCGGAGCAUGCGGAUUAAUUCGACGCAACGCGAAGAACCUUACCAAGGCUUGACAUACACCGGUAACGCCCAGAGAUGGGUGCCCCUUUGUGGUCGGUGGACAGGUGGUGCAUGGUUGUCGUCAGCUCGUGUCGUGAGAUGUUGGGUUAAGUCCCGCAACGAGCGCAACCCUCGUCCUAUGUUGCCAGCGGGUCAUGCCGGGGACUCAUGGGAGACUGCCGGGGUCAACUCGGAGGAAGGUGGGGAUGACGUCAAAUCAUCAUGCCCCUUAUGUCUUGGGCUUCACGCAUGCUACAAUGGCCGGUACAAAGGGCUGCGAUACCGCGAGGUGGAGCGAAUCCCAGAAAGCCGGCCUCAGUUCGGAUUGGGGUCUGCAACUCGACCCCAUGAAGUCGGAGUCGCUAGUAAUCGCAGAUCAGCAACGCUGCGGUGAAUACGUUCCCGGGCCUU